AAUUGGGAUUCUGCCUUUGGGGAAGUGCUUCCUUUCAGGGACUAGAGAGGAAGAAGAGGAUUUAUCUGACUCAACUGGAGAUGGCUCCCUUCCCUUAUUUAUUGUUGCAUCCUGAAGCUUCCCCCAUGCUGGGCUCAGUGUGAACAAACAGCGCGGGAGAAUGCAACCACUGCAGAGGCAUAUGUUUGAGAUACCUGGCCACUGGAGGUCAUCUCGUCUACUAUAUUCACCGCAGAUAAAGAAUGAAAAGAGAAUACACAACCUUGUGAUUGCUAGCAGUGAAAGCUCAGAGUUAUGACAUAACAAGUGGUUGAUCAUACUGUAAAACUCAAAUGUGAAGGGAAGGCUGGAACCUACUGGAAACUGAAGAUCUAACGAAAAGAAGGAACUUUUAGGAACUAGCAGAGACUUCAAAAUGUUGAGAACUCUCUUUUUUCAUAAGAGAAGAUAAAAACUCUGAUGGUCACACUCAUAAAGACAAAAAACAAAUAAAAAACAAACAAAAACUCAGAAUCACAAGAGCAAAGAAAAUGUAGGUAAAACAAUAACAGAAGAGGUAAAGAAAUUUAUGUGAAUUGGGACACUCUGGGGCACAGAACAGAAGAGGAGAAGAAACAUGAAAGUAAUGCUCUGCACAAGGAUGUCUGACUGUCCUUGAUUCCAAGGGCAUUUAAAAUUAGCCACUGGAUGAGAACCAUGAAAUGCCAUGACUCUUACAGCUCCCAUGAAAGACAUUGGAUGGAACUUAUCCUAACUGGACCAAAUUCUAAAAAAUUUUACAUGAUAUUAUAAUGAGUUGAAAGUUGAAAAAAAAAAGCUCUUCUAGAUUACCAAGAAUAAAACACAAAUUUCUAGCUGACUGAAUUAAUUCUCAUCUCUCUAUAGAAAGAUCAUAGAAAUUUUUUUUAUCAUGCAAAGAAAUAGCUAAAAAUUUACAAAAAUAUAGACGUGCAUUAGGCAGCUCAUGAAUAAAUGCGUUUUUUCCUUUUUUCCUCCAGAAUUUUGUGAUGUUUAUGGUACUUUUCGGCUUUUAAAAUUUUGUAUUUAAUCAGGAUUUAUUACUUCAUUGUAAGUAAAUAUUAAAUUUGUACUCCAUCUUUGUUUGUAAUUUUGUAUAUUUUUCAGUAAAAAGGACUCCCCAGAUUAUGUAAGCUUUAGGCCCCACAAAAUCUAGGCCUGUUGCUGUAUCCUUUCUAGAGCAGUGUUUCUCAAACUUCAAUGUGCAUUUGAAUCUCCUGGGGCUCCUGUUAAAAUAUAGCUUCUGAGAUGAUGCAUUUCUAACAGACUCCCAGGGCUGACACUGCCCAUCUGGGGACCACACUUUGAGAAUCAAAUAUCUAGAACAAUGGUUCUUACCUGGCUGUGCAUUGGGAUCAUUUAUAGUGCUUUUGGAAAAUACAUUGUGUCCAGGUCCCACCCAGUUCUCAGUAGGCUUGGAAUGGGGUCCUACACUUUUUUUUUUUAACUCCACAGUUUGGGAAAGAAGCCUUUUCAUAUAUUGUUGGUGGGAAUACAAAUUGAUACAGCCAUUUUUGAGCUUGAUUUGGCAAUAUCUUCCUUGGAGAAAUCAAAAGCCAGUUGGCAAGCCAGUCUGGAAAAGGCAGUUUACUGAUUCCCACCCGAGGGUCACAAAGCAGGUAUAGAAGGAUGGGCUUUGGCUGAAAUAUAUGAUGGGUACAGGUAUAUUCUCUAUAAUCCAGUAUUUCCACUGCUGAAAACGUAUCCUAGUAACAUUAUACAUAUCAAGCCUACAUAUAAAGUUGGUCAAUUCCAUAUUAUUUGUAGUAGGGGAAAACUGAAAGCAGUCUACAUGCCCAUCAAUAGAUUAUUCAAAUUAUGGAACAGUUUUCCAAUGACAAAACAAUAGCUAAUCUUAGUUAAGCAAUUAUUAUGUUAUGUAAGGUAGACAUUGUUCUACCUUAUUUAUAAGUAUUAAGUUAGUUUUUAUAACUAUCAUAUUUCCAUUUUACAAAUGACAUAAUUUAUAUUAUUGACAUGGGAAGAUGUCCAAGGAUAUAAUAAGCAAAAAGCAAGUAGCAAAACAUUAUGUAUAUUAUGCAUUACCAUUAUAAUAUACUAAAAAGUAAUGCACUUGAUUCUGAUGCACACUCCCCAGUAGGUAACAACUUAUCUAGUGUAAAAAUGAAAGAACAUUCUGGGCCGGGCACGGUGGCUCAUGCCUGUAAUCCCAGCACUUUGGGAGGCCCAGGUGGGCGGAUCACAAGGUCAGGAGAUCGAGACCAUCCUGGCUAACAUGGUGAAACCCCGUCUCUACUAAAAAUACAAAAAAAAAAUUAGCUGGGCGUGGUGGCCGGCGCCUGUAGUCGCAGCUACUCGGGAGGCUGAGGCAGGAGAAUGGCGUGAACCCGGGAGGCGGAGCUUUCAGUGAGCGGAGAUAGCGCCAUUGCACUCCAGCCUGGGCGACAGAGCGAGACUCUGCCUCAACAACAACAACAACAACAACAAAAAAAAAAAAAAAAAAAAAAAAAGAACAUUCUGUUACCUCAAACACGCUGUUUUCAUGCAAUUUAGUUAACUGGUAGCACUUUCAGAAGAAGACAAAGUAAAAAUGGUUAGGUCAAUUUGGUGGCAUAGAGUAUUCUAUCGAUCAGUGGUCAAAAGAGUAGUCAUUCUGAGUGAUCUCUAACAUUAGGGUUGAUGGAAGAGAUGACCCAUAGAUGUCCCUACAUCUCAUUUCUCUUAGGACACACACUUGGGAGAAAUCGUCCAGUGCACUUUGUCCAGGCCUUUUACUUGUACCAACUACUUUGCUUUAUGCUGUUUUCACUUUAGUGGUUCUGCCUUCUAGUCCACAGAAAAGUUUUUUCUUAACGUAUUUUUUUCCCAACACUUUAUUAUGGGAAUUUUCAAACAUACAGAAAAGAUAAAAGAAAUUUACAGAGAAUACUCGUGUCUCUAUCAGCUAGAUUCUACAGUUAACAUUUUACUAUAGUAGUUUUAUUGCAUAUCUGUUUAUCUCCCUGUGCAUCCAUGGAUCCAAUUCAUCUUUAGGAUGCAUUUCAAAGCAAGUUGCUGACGUCAGUACACUUCCCUCUCAAUACUUUAGUAUGUGGAUCAAUAACCCUAGCUUAAGAUUUGUUGAUUGUUUUUCUUUCCUUUUGAAGUAAAAUUUACACACAAGGAAAUGCACACAUCUUAAGUGGACCAUUUGAUGAGUUUUGAGUAAUGCCCACAUUGUGUAACUCAAACGUCUAUCAAGAAAGAACAUUACCAUACCUGAGAGUAUCCUCAUGCUCCUCCCCUGGGGUACUCCCUGCCUCUCCACACCAAUCCCCCCAGGUAACAACUGUUCUGAUAUCCCCCUCACCAUAUAUACCUGCUCUAGAACAUCAUAUAAAUGGAAUGAUACAAUAUGUCUUUUGUAUAAGCUUUAUUCCACUCAGCAUAAUGUUUUUGCCAUUCACCCAUAUUAUUGAUCAUAUUAGUACCUUGCUCCUUCUUAUUACUGAGUAGUAUUAGAUAGUAUAAACAUAGCGUAGUCUAUUUUCCUAUUUUGAUGGAUAUGUGGGCUUGUUCUGAUUUUUGCUUAUUAUGAAUAAAACUUCUGAGUAUUCUUGUACAAGUAUUUUUUGGACAUACAUUUUCAUUUCUCUUGGCAAAAUACCUAGGAAUGGAAUUGCUGGGUCAUAGGGUAUACUUUUAGUUUUGUAAGAAGCUGUCAGAUCUCUUCCCAAAGUGGUUGUAACAUUUUACACUCCUACUAACAGUGCAUGGGAAGCCAGUUUCUCUAUAUCCUCUCCAACAUUUGGUGCUGUCAAUCUUUUAAAAUUUUAGCCAUUUUUGUGGUUGUAUAGUGUUAUCUCAUUGCAGUUUUAAUUUGCCGAUCCCUGAAUGUGUGUAGGUGUGUAUAUGUAUUAUAUAAUAUAUAUAUUAUUCUUUCACUUAUUUUGAAGUAAUUUCAAAGUUUCCAGAAUAAUAUCAAGAACUCCUGUACUCCCUUCGCCAGAUUCUCCAAUUGUAACGUUUUAUUGCAUAUGCUCCAUUGCCCAUUCUCUCUCUACUUAUAGCUGCAUUAGUGUUUUUCUGAACCUUUAGAGAUGAAGGUGAAAAAAGAUGCGAUAUCACCACCCUCCCGUUCUAGUAUGCAUUUUCCCCAAAUAAAGACAUUUUCCUACAGAAUCAGCAUAUGAUCCUUCAUAUCAGGUUAUCAACAGUGGUAUAACACUGUCCAGUCCACAGACCCCAUUUGCCAAUGAGCCCCCAAAUCUCUGCUUUUUCUUUGUGUUCCAGGAUAUUAUCCAUGAGCCUGUGUUUCAUGUAAUUGUCAUGUUUCUUCGGAUUCCUUCAAACUGCUACAGCUUCUGUGUCUAUCCCUGUCUUCCAUGUGCUUGACAGCUUUGAAGAGUACAGGUCCUUCAUUCAGUAGAAUGACCACCAAGCCAGGUCCACCAGAUGUUUCAUCAUGGUUUUAGUGAGGUUAUAAAUUCUGGGCAGUAAUUCUACAGAAGUGCUGCUUUGUUUUUCUCAGUGCCUCACACCCAGUGGCACAUAUCAUCACCACUGGUGAUGCUAACCUCGAUUGCUCAACCACAUUGUCUGCCAGCUCCCGCCUACUUAAAUUCAACAUUUUGCCUUUUGCAAUUUAUUUGUGUUUUGUGGGAACAUAUUUUCAUUUCUGAAAUUAGUCAAUAUCCUGUUCCUUAUCAAACUUCCAACUCUGGUCUUAGCAUCCAUUGACUGAAUCAAGUGCCUUUGUGUAAGUUUCCACAUGAUGAGUGUCUAUUUCCAUCAUUGGUUCUAUUUUUAUGAGCUGGUAUUUUACUAUAAGAAAUAGCAUAUUAUUUUCUAUGCUUAAACCACUGCAAGUUUGACCCUUUCAAGCUGGUUUUUGUGUCCUUUUGACAUAUUCCCAUUGUUCAUUGAGCAUUUCCUUAUUUUCUGGCAUAAGAAGAUGUUCCAAGUGCAACUUGUAUAUUACCUGUUUCAGCCCUGGAAUCAGACAUUUUCCUAAGGAUCCUUGGUUUCUUUGAAUAAAGGAUACUAUUUAGAAGCCAAGAUCUGGUUAAUCCGUAUGUUAAUUGCUACUGGGGUAUCAUUGCUUUAGGCCCAUUCAGUGGACAGAGCUAGGAAAAAUACACAUUUUUCAUGUCUGUCUGGCUACAUAUGUAUGUAUUUAUACAUCUAUAUGAUUUUGAUAUCAAUCUCUAUGUAUGUUAUAUAUACAUAUAAUAAAAGCAUAAGUCCAUACUAAUACCCUGUUUCAAUCCAGCCCCUCAGGAUUAUUUUCUAGAUUUCCCCCUUUUGGUAUUUAUAAAUACCUAUUUCAGUAAUGAGGGUUUGGCUCCUUUUAUGUUCAAUAUAGUUACUUAUUUACUUAAUCUCCCAACUACAUUGCUGUCUCUUCUGCCCACCACCUCCACAUCUUAUCUCCUUCCUGACCUAGGUCUCACUGGCUCCUGCCCUGCAUCCUUGGUUUUUGGGCUGCCUGUCCGUGCCUCUUCACAGCUCUCUAACCGCCUCCCCUCCUUGUGAUUUUAGCUACUGUGCUGACUUUUCCACACUGGGAAGGAAAAUGAAGGGACAAUGUAGCAGGUUUCAGUGGUGAAACAAACAAACAAAAAAUUGAACAAACCCAACCCUUCAUUUCCAUUUGCAGUAGUUCUAUUUCCCAGCUCUCAUUCUUGAAUUUUUUUUUUUUUUACAAAGAAAAGCACUCAGUGUUUUAAAAAAAACGAAAAACAAGAAAAAUGGGAAAGAUCAAGUGUAGCGAGUUACAAUUUUAUUUAAGAUCCCCAAUAAAAAGGCUUUUUAAAAAGGUUAUCAGAAUUAUAACCUGUUCCUGCUGUGCAAUCAGCUCAACCCCAUCACAACUCUGCCCAGCAGGAGCUAAUGCUACACUCUUUCAAGUGAACAUGCUUAUGGCCUGCAAAGGGGUUAAUUAACAAUAAGGAGUUGUAGCAGAAGUCUCCAUCUGCACAAGUGUUGGCUGUCCUUUGAUGGGCACAGUGGGCGAGGAUCCCAGCCACCCGCACCAGUCCUCUGACCUUGGUGUUCACAAGGUCUCAGCUGUUGCAAGCCUGCAGGCACCGAUGUCAGGUUUUCAGCACAAACUGGAGCUUCAUGGGGGCUUUCUCAUCAGAGCCUUUGCCUAUUGCCUUUGGGGAGAAGCACUGCAAUCAUUAGUUUCAAAUUCCUUAAAUCAGAGAAAUGAUCUUGCUUUCGGAAACAAUCUGAUAGCCCUUCCUGGAAACUGGGGAUGGUAGACACACCUUGAGAGCACCAGGCAGCUCUUUCAUUUCUUGCUUGGCAUUGACUCACUCCUCUCACUGCAUUCCCUGCACUAACCAGAAGCACAGAUUCUUGGCUUAGCAUAGAUGAGAUUGCACAGAACGGGGGCACCCUUGGGGUCUGCCUUUGUCUCUGGUCACACACUCCCCACUCACCAGGGAAUCCACUUAAGCAUCUUUGAAAUAAGCCUCAUUUGCAGGUGUACGGUGGCCCAUGACCUAUGAUAGGGAAGGAAAAUUUGCCUCAAUACAUGUGCUAGCUCUGAUUGUGAGUGGAAGCCUGGGAGAGCUGUGUGGGAAAGGACUUUGAAGCCUCAUCUGGGCAUGAUAGAGAAGAGUGCUGCAAUUGAUUAGUGGUAUCUGCCAUGAGCAUGGAAGGGAGGAUUGGGACAAUGUACAACACAUUUGCCAUCCCUAUCCUAGGAUUUAACUCCGUCUUCCAGCAGAAGAUUACUAAGGCAGUUUUGCCUGAGAUAUUUGGUAAUCAUCUUAAUUUCAAGGCUGUCUGGUGAUAUCUCAUGUUCGUUAUACUUAUUUAUAUCACUAAGAUUUUGGCACUUGUGUGUUCCCUGACUAAUGAUAAGAAAAGAAAGUGAGAGAAAUGAAUAUUUAUUAAGCACCUACUAAUUGUCAGUUAUUCUUUUAGGAGCUUUAAAAAAUGUAUCUCAUCAAAUAUUCAAAAUAAACCUAUAAAAAUCAGAAUAUUACUCCUCUUUUUAAUAAAGAAAUGAAGGCUCAGAGAAGUAAAAUAUUUGCUUAAACCAUAAUAGAAAAUUUCAAAUCCAAGGAUAAUGCUCAUUCUGAUAUACUUGGGCAGUGGGUCUCAAUCCUGGGAAGAUUAAAAAAAUUUUUUUAAAGUAUAAAUGACUGCAUCUCAUCAUAGAUAAUUACAUCAGAAUCUCCAGGAAAGGGAAGCUUAGGCAUAAGAAUGAUGUUAAAAAUUCCCCAGUUGAUUCUUACCUGCAGCCAGGUGCAAGAACCACACACCAAGGGGGUGUGGAGCAAGAUAAUUCACCUUUAUACAAUGCCUACUCUGAGCCUAGCUUUUUCUUUCCCCCGCCUAUAUUCUAUCUGAUUUAAUUUUUACACAAUUCCUUAAAGCUUCAUUUUUCCUAUGAGGGAAAGCUGAGGCUCAGAAAACCUCAGUAUGUUUCUGAAGAUCAUGCAGUAAAACUGGAAUUUGAAGGCAAAUCUGUAUGGUUUCAAAGCACUUGCUCUUUCCACGUCUCCAUGCUUCUUCCAUUAGGUUUCUGAACCCAGGCUCCAUCCUUAACCUUACUGUUGAGCAAUUCUGGAUCCCACCUGGCUUCCAAAUCUGUCCUGAACCUGUCAUUCUAGCUUGGGCUGGAACCAUCAUUUGUAGUCUCAGCAUUUAGUUUCGUGGGAGAAAAAAUGUAACAAGUGCUUCCUUAAGCUACUACCAUUUAUCCUGUGGAAUUUGGGCAGCUCAGCAUGAGGCUGUUUUCAGAGCUAGGGGUCCGGAACAAACGGUGUGACCUUGCCUCUGAAGAAUGUCUAUGUUUAGACCACAGGAGUUUGGAGUUUUUUCUUUGGUCCCCAGGCGGUUCAAAGCAGUACAAAUGAGUUGUGGGGUCCAGAGUUCCUGAUCCUGUGGGUUGUGGGCACCUGGGUUCCUGCUUUGGCCAUCAUGGUACCACACUGACUUUAGCUCCUAUGGUCAGAAUCGUGGGUGUCCAUGAGAUAACUAAGCAAACUAACAGAACCUUA
RNAcentral lists this long non-coding RNA (7976 nucleotides) under Homo sapiens (human). RNAcentral describes it as "non-protein coding lnc-TMEM178A-1:26". The record is from RNAcentral. Lineage: Eukaryota; Metazoa; Chordata; Mammalia; Primates; Hominidae.